Molecule: unclassified non-coding RNA, 317 nt
Filed under: Hevea brasiliensis (rubber tree)
Lineage: Eukaryota; Viridiplantae; Streptophyta; Magnoliopsida; Malpighiales; Euphorbiaceae
Source: RNAcentral
AUCAAAUUAUAAUCAAUUCAUUUUAAUUCGGACUUAAAUAAGUGAUUAUAUUACUUUAUACAUCAAAAUGACUAGUCGAUUUAAUGUUGCAACUCAACCACUUAUAUAUUACCCUUUUACUUCAUAUCUUUUUGAUGUGGGAUUCCUAACACUCCCCCCUCAAGUGCAAUCACAUAAUUAUUACUUGACAAUUAGUUAGUAUUUUAACCCAAUACGGGUCCAAUUAUACAGCUUUAUGGGCGGCUAAAACCCACAAUUCAGUCCGGACUCUGACACCAGUUUGUUACAUAGCAAAAUCUCAAAACACCAUAACACCA